Molecule: long non-coding RNA, 290 nt
Organism: Solanum tuberosum (potato)
Lineage: Eukaryota; Viridiplantae; Streptophyta; Magnoliopsida; Solanales; Solanaceae
Exons: 2
Source: RefSeq, a predicted model, not a curated record
UCUACAGGGCUAUCACCUUCUUUGGCCAGAUCUUCCAAUCUUUUCACAAUUACAGUUCACUGCGCCCGCUCCUUUAAAUUUAAAGGGCGGCGGCUUUCAAGCUUACCUUAUUAUUAGAGAAAGGUUUGGAACGAAGUAGCUCGCCUAAAAGGAGAGGAACGAAGCUUCGUGUUUGUUUUUCUUCAAACCCCAAUCCGCUCUCGCUCGCCGCUACUAACGGGGUCUCGGUUGAUUUCCCUUCCUUUAGCUACUAAGAUGUUUCAGUUCGCUAAGUUUGAAAAGUCCAAAGA